GGGCACCGACUACAAGCCGGGCAGUCCAGGAAAAGUCCCAGCUUGGGUUCCUCAAACUGGACUUUUCCCCUCCGUGGCUGCACGGCUUCUUACCGGUGCCAGAGCAGAACCCAGCCAUGAUUUUUAGGCUUCACGGUGGGAAGUAACACUGUGGAGUUAUGACUCAGAGGCACAGCC
This is a non-coding RNA of Nerophis lumbriciformis (worm pipefish), 177 nucleotides long. RefSeq annotates it as small Cajal body-specific RNA 1. The record is from RefSeq and is a predicted model, not a curated record. NCBI's taxonomy places the organism in Eukaryota, Metazoa, Chordata, Actinopteri, Syngnathiformes, Syngnathidae.